Molecule: ribosomal RNA, 301 nt
Filed under: uncultured bacterium
Lineage: Bacteria
Description: partial 16S ribosomal RNA
Rfam family: Bacterial small subunit ribosomal RNA
Source: RNAcentral
CAGUCGCCGCGGUAAAACGUAGGGUGCGAGCGUUAAUCGGAAUUACUGGGCGUAAAGCGUGCGCAGGCGGUUUUGUAAGUCUGUCGUGAAAUCCCCGGGCUCAACCUGGGAAUGGCGAUGGAGACUGCAAGGCUAGAAUCUGGCAGAGGGGGGUAGAAUUCCACGUGUAGCAGUGAAAUGCGUAGAUAUGUGGAGGAACACCGAUGGCGAAGGCAGCCCCCUGGGCUAAGAUUGACGCUCAUGCACGAAAGCGUGGGGAGCAAACAGGAUUAGAUACCCGCGUAGUCCCUGUCUCUUAUAC